AACUUAAAGAGUUCCAAUCGAAUUGUGAGCAGUGUACUAGUUAGUUCCUGAACUUACGCUUUCAGUUGGUCACUCUCACUCACUUCCUUUUUUCUCACAAGCAAUAACUUCUCGUCUUCUCCCAUCAUCUGAUUCAGUCUCUCGCAACCAUCAGCCUUUGGUAAUUGAUAAUUCAACCAUCAGUAAAGAUGGUGAAGUGUCAAGUACCAUGGGUCUACAGCUUAGCUGCAUUGUUAAUCCUAUCUUGUGAAAUUAUAAAGGCGCAAAUUAUCCAAGAUGAGACCAUGAUCAAAUCAGCUGUUUAUCUGUCACCCGAGUUUGUUAUGAAACCUGGUACAGUGAUAAACCGUUUCUAUCACAACAUCGACUUUCCUAGAGGUCAUAUUGGCAUUAAGAGUUUCAAUGCUGAAGUAGUUGAUGAGGAUGGAGUUCCAGUCUCCCUUCAAGACACUUACCUCCACCACUGGCUGGUUGGGAGAUACUAUGUACGUAUAGGUUCUGAGGAUAAAGGGCUUAGCAGGAAUCCAAAUUCUCUUGACAAGUCAGAUUUCAUGUGGGUCAGAAACACAGGAGUGUGCGAAAAUCUUGGACAGUAUUUUGGAUUGGGAUCUGAAACCCGGAAAACAGCCACACACGUGCCAGAUCCUUACGCAAUAGAGGCUGGUAAUGCAGCUGAAAUACCCCCAGGGUAUGAGGAGAGAUGGAUUUUGAAUGUUCAUGCUAUUGAUACUCGAGGUGCGGUAGAUAGGUUGGGUUGUACUGAGUGCAAGUGCAGUCUCUACAAUGUUACUAUAGAUGAAUAUGGCAGACCCUUAAGGCCAGAUUAUGAAGGAGGUUUGCUAUGUUGCUAUGAUCAGACACAAUGUAGAGUGAAGGAAGGUUUUACAAAUUCACCGAGAAAGUUGUACCUGAGAUACACUGUCAAGUGGUUUGAUUGGGUUGAGUCACUUCUCCCUGUUAAAAUUUACAUCUUUGAUAUUACUGAUACUUGGAAGACAUCCAACGGGAAGCAUGACUGCAAGGUAGAGUAUGAAAUCAGUCAAUGUGAUUCAUCUACUGUGUCAGCUAAUGGAUGCAUCGACACCAAGAGGAUGAGCUUCAAUAUGCCAAGAGGUGGAAAUGUUAUUUAUGGAGUUGCCCAUCAGCAUUCAGGAGGAAUAGGUUCAGCACUUUAUAGAAAGGAUGGACGGGUAAUUUGUUCCUCACUACCAUCUUAUGGGAAGGGAACUGAAGCCGGAAAUGAGUCUGGAUAUAUUGUAGGAAUGUCCACCUGUUACCCUGAUCCCGGCUCUAUCAAGAUAUAUGAUGGAGAGACCCUGGUUUUAGAAUCAAAUUACAGCAGUUCUCGAAAACACACUGGAGUCAUGGGCCUUUUCUACAUUUUGGUUGCUGAACAAUUACCAACCCAGAAAUCACUCUCAUUGCUCUAAUUUCUACAGGAUGAAUGAAUGAAAGGAGAGAAGAAAGAACAACCUCAGAGAGAAUUAAUCUUGCAUUCAUGGUUGAUUGAGUUUUAUGACAUGUUUAAUAUUGUCAUCAUGGUAUCAGAGCAAGCUGAUUGAGAACGUGUAUGUCCGUUUCGUGCUUGGACAAGCCACUAUCAGGGUACUCCAGGUGAAGUUGGAUUUCGAUAUAGUUGAACUUCUCUCCAGAAUCUGAUGUAUGAUGUAUGCGUAAUAAAUAUAGUCCUUUUCCUAAACGAUGAUGAACUCUAGAUACUUUUAUUUUGCCUAUAUAUCUAUAAAUACUAGUAGUACAGAGUUUAAAUAUGAUAAAUAAUUUUGCAAUUUUCUGCA
Beta vulgaris subsp. vulgaris (sugar beet) is the source of this 1796-nucleotide RNA transcript. RefSeq lists it as hypothetical. The transcript is spliced from 6 exons. The record is from RefSeq and is a predicted model, not a curated record. Lineage: Eukaryota; Viridiplantae; Streptophyta; Magnoliopsida; Caryophyllales; Amaranthaceae.